CCUACGGGGGGCUGCAGUGGGGAAUAUUGGACAAUGGGGGCAACCCUGAUCCAGCUAUGCCGCGUGUGUGAAGAAGGCCCUCGGGUUGUAAAGCACUUUCAGUGAGGAAGAACGCCUGGUGGUUAAUACCCAUCAGGAAAGACAUCACUCACAGAAGAAGCACCGGCUAACUCCGUGCCAGCAGCCGCGGUAAUACGGAGGGUGCGAGCGUUAAUCGGAAUUACUGGGCGUAAAGCGCGCGUAGGUGGCUUGAUAAGCCGGUUGUGAAAGCCCCGGGCUCAACCUGGGAACGGCAUCCGGAACUGUCAAGCUAGAGUGCAGGAGAGGAAGGUAGAAUUCCCGGUGUAGCGGUGAAAUGCGUAGAGAUCGGGAGGAAUACCAGUGGCGAAGGCGGCCUUCUGGACUGACACUGACACUGAGGUGCGAAAGCGUGGGUAGCAAACAGGAUUAGAUACCCCGGUAGUC
Molecule: ribosomal RNA, 465 nt
Filed under: Vreelandella stevensii
Lineage: Bacteria; Pseudomonadati; Pseudomonadota; Gammaproteobacteria; Oceanospirillales; Halomonadaceae
Description: partial 16S ribosomal RNA
Rfam family: Bacterial small subunit ribosomal RNA
Source: RNAcentral